Molecule: ribosomal RNA, 452 nt
Filed under: uncultured bacterium
Lineage: Bacteria
Description: bacterial SSU rRNA
Rfam family: Bacterial small subunit ribosomal RNA
Source: RNAcentral
AGAGUUUGAUCCUGGCUCAGAGCGAACGCUGGCGGCAGGCCUAACACAUGCAAGUCGAACGAACUCUUCGGAGUUAGUGGCGGACGGGUGAGUAACACGUGGGAACGUGCCUUUAGGUUCGGAAUAACUCAGGGAAACUUGUGCUAAUACCGAAUGUGCCCUUCGGGGGAAAGAUUUAUCGCCUUUAGAGCGGCCCGCGUCUGAUUAGCUAGUUGGUGAGGUAAAGGCUCACCAAGGCGACGAUCAGUAGCUGGUCUGAGAGGAUGAUCAGCCACAUUGGGACUGAGACACGGCCCAAACUCCUACGGGAGGCAGCAGUGGGGAAUCUUGCGCAAUGGGCGAAAGCCUGACGCAGCCAUGCCGCGUGAAUGAUGAAGGUCUUAGGAUUGUAAAAUUCAUUCACCGGGGACGAUAAUGACGGUACCAGGAGAAGAAGCCCCGGCUAACUUCGU